Molecule: non-coding RNA, 418 nt
Organism: Peromyscus maniculatus bairdii (prairie deer mouse)
Lineage: Eukaryota; Metazoa; Chordata; Mammalia; Rodentia; Cricetidae
Source: RefSeq, a predicted model, not a curated record
CUCUGUUUCUGUCUGGCACAAUAGGGAGAGGCUGGUAGGAAUGAAGGCCUCAGGAACUUUUCCACUUAGCCUGUGGCCCAGUACAUCCCAGGGCCUACUGAAGGUCAACAUGGAGGAGAGUUCCUUCCACAACCUAACAGUUUUGUGAACCCCGGUGUCUCAGACACUGUUUUAAGUAGUGAACUUGGGAACAGGUAUGUUGUAUGAUUCAGAUAUACAGACUCACCUGCGCCUUGAGAAAAAGAAGAUGUGACAUGACCUAUUUGCUUCUACAAGGCUUUCAUCUAUUGCUCUAAACUGCGGCCCAAUACAGCAGAAGUGGUCCCCUGUGGAUGGAGAUGCUGUGUCUGCACCCUUCCGCAGACUCACAGGUGCUGGAGGACUCUUUCUCUCCUACAGUUCUGACACUCGGUAACAG